UCGUAUCAUUAUCAUCACACCGCAGAUUUUGUUUCUGAACCUGUUCUUAUUCGGGUUUCACUUGAGGCCCAUUUAUAAUUGAGAAGUUUAGGGAUAGUGGUAUCUUACGUAAAUUUUACGAGACAAAGGGGUACAACUGAGAAUAGGAAGUAUACACAUCAUUCAGACAUUGAUUUAGUAGUCAUCGACGUUCGGACGAACUUGCCGUGGAGAGACUUUCGAGCUUAGUCAAUUAUUUUCAUCCUCAGUUACUUUCAACGAAAUCUCAAAUGAAUUAUUUCGUCAACCGGUCUACUUCGAUCUGUUUUAUACUACAUAACUUAAAUUUUAUAUCAUCGAAAUCAAAAUGAAAAUUCAAACAGUAUAACUAUUAAUUAAUUUAAUUUAUUUUGAGUUCCACAAUAACAUUGAAAUCUAGAUGAAAAUUCAAUGUUGUGUUUUUUUUUGCUUCUACCAACUCCAAGAAUGAAAGACCGAAAAUUAAAGGAUCAGUUAAGUCAAACUGUUUGGUCUUAAAUUCCAUUCUAAUAUACGUACGUUUUUAUAAAAUAUAUAGUCAGAUAUUGUGUUUGUUUUUAUGUAAAUGCUCC
Molecule: long non-coding RNA, 590 nt
Filed under: Brassica napus (rape)
Lineage: Eukaryota; Viridiplantae; Streptophyta; Magnoliopsida; Brassicales; Brassicaceae
Description: long non-coding RNA (BNAP_LNC008040)
Source: RNAcentral